RNAcentral lists this ribosomal RNA (522 nucleotides) under Triticum aestivum (bread wheat). Its description in RNAcentral is "partial small subunit ribosomal RNA". The record is from RNAcentral. Lineage: Eukaryota; Viridiplantae; Streptophyta; Magnoliopsida; Poales; Poaceae.
AUGAAGGACCGCCGCAGCGGCGCCGGCUUCUCCUUCUCCAUCGGCUGCAUGUCGCAGUCCGCCGUCGCCGUCGCCGAACCGCUCGACAAGAAGCCACCAGCACCGGCGCCGCAGCCGCAGCAGGAGGCCGACACCCCCUCCUCCUCCACCACGACCACGGCGGCCACCGCACAGGAGAGAGGCGCCGGAGAAGAAAGCAGCGAGGACAAGGCCAGAACCGCGGCGGCGGCGUCAGGGGUCGUCACGGCGGGGGUGCAGCGGCUGCUCAAGGGAAUCAAGACCUUCUUCGCGGCCUACGACGGCGAGGAGGACGAGGAGGAGGAGGAUAGGGAGAUCGUGAUCGGGUACCCCACCGACGUGCAGCACGUCGGGCACAUCGGCUGGGACGGCCUCAACAAGGUGGGCGGCAUGGGCGUGGGCAUGGGCAUGGUCGGCGCCUUCUCCCAGCCCUCCUCCCUCUCCCUCCGCCAGCUCGAGAUCGCCAUGGACCCCGGCGCCGUCGCCACCACCUGCAUCAACUGA